Molecule: long non-coding RNA, 6632 nt
Filed under: Sus scrofa (pig)
Lineage: Eukaryota; Metazoa; Chordata; Mammalia; Artiodactyla; Suidae
Description: lncRNA (ENSSSCG00035050545.1)
Source: RNAcentral
UUUUGCUCACCUUUUAUUGAAAGAGCUCCUCCUUAGCUCUUUUCUUUGCAUGGGCUUAAGGCAACUAUUGAUACCAGCAUCCACCAUGGAGCAGACUUAUUGAGCUAACUUUCAUUAACUCAUUCAUUACAGAAGAUCGUUUGGCUGAUGUUUCUGCUCUCAAUGGCUUAUUUAUUUAAAUGAACACAAGUAGUUCUUAGAACUCAAAAAAAAACUGCUGAAAAGCCAACAGUUAACUUUUUCUUUCAUUAUUUUCAGGUCCUUCUGCCAUGUGCUCUAGUAAUUCCUAUUUUGUAUAUUGCAGGCUUUCAACUGUUUGGGUCAGGUAGGCGAGUAAGGUCUCAAAAUAUUCAGCAAUAGAUAUUUAUACUUCUAGUGAAUAUAAUUUUGGGUGGGCUUUUUUUCCUAUCAUCUCAGAACUAAGAGACAAGGCCCAAAGCUGACACAAACCAAAAACAUCAAAUUUUCUAAAGCAUCAGUGAUAACUAAGUCCAGCAGAAACAACCCUACCUUACUGUUAUAGGUUGUGUAUGUUCCCUCAAAGUCCAAAUGUGGAAGUCUUGAGUCCUAGAACCUCAGAUGUAACUGUGUUUGGAGACAUUCUUUAAAGAGGUAAUUAAAUUAAAAUGCAUUAUUAGGGUGAGCCCUAAUCCAAUAUGACUGGUAUCCUCACAAGAAGAGGAAAUCUGGACUAAGUAGUCAGCAAAGCAAAUAAUUGCUAGUCUGUAAAAUGGGCAAAAUAAAAUUCACCUCAUAGGGUUGUGGCCAGGAUUAAUGAGACAGUGUAUACAAAUUUCUUAGCACUGUAAAUUCUGGAAUACAGUCAGUACUUAAAGAGUAGUAAUUAUUUUCAGUGUUCGGGGCUGUGCACCACUUCUAGGUAGUCUUAGUGCCGAUAAUUCUAAAUGCUAUGAUUUAACACAUACAUUCUAAGGAUAAAAUUAAUCUUAAUUUAUUUUAAUUUUUAAAAUAAUCAUGUGUACUACACAACAGUUUUAGAGGGGAAAGAGGGUUAUUAAAAAGGCUUAGAGAUGUAAGAUAUAUGCCUUGAUUACAGAGCCAGGAGUGGUGCAGCCAGACUUUUGAGCCCCCAUGUCUCAAGGCCCCCAGCACAUGUUCCUACAUGUAGUGCCGUCCGAGCAUACAUCAGGGCUUUCUUGCAUCAUGAAAAGUGGGCAAUAGCACAAUUAAAAAAUGCCCCCAGCUCAUCUAGAGUCCCAUGUCUCUGCGUUUUUUAAUAUUUCUUCUCCCGCACAUUGUACUCAGAAGACACUUUCUCCUUUGAUGUCUCAGGAAGGCCCCGUGAAGAGCAGCUGACGGGAGCUGGCAGGCCCUCCCAGGAUGUCCUGAGCUCUUCACCAGAGGAGUGGUGGGCGUGAACAUCUUCCCUGCAUUGUUGUCCUUUUCAUCCAAGCUUUGUCUGCCGAGAAAGAGAGCAGCAUCUGUUCUCCGGGUGAGCAGAUGAUUAUACAAGACCUCAUGGUUUUACAUCAAAGAAGAGUGAAUUUUAAAACCUUUUGUGUGCGUGUGUGUGAUGGUGUUCAAGGUCCUGCAUUUUCAAAAAGCAAAGAGAGGGUCAUUUCCAAAUGUAAACACGUUGAAAGAGCAGUAGAAACAAUGGGAAUUUUUAAUAAGUGAAGGAAAAAAAAUAAAUGAUUCUCAUUGCCUUACAAAACACUACACCUGGGGUUUGGUUUUCUGUAUUAAAAUCCGGGGAGAAUAUUUCAUGAGCUAUGUGGGUUCCUCGUCCACACACACUAGUGAAAAUGGAGAUUUUUAUGGUUGGGAAAGCAAAGCAACUAUUUCUUUUACCUCCUAUAUGUAGUCACCUCUUGGCUUGGCAAUGGAUUGUUACUGCAUUCUAAAGAAAUGAGGGCCUAAAAUCUCUAAAUGGAAACUGAAUGAUUCAGUCCAUAAUGUGAGUUAGUAAACAUCCAACUUGUUAGAAACAUAACUACAGCAUCCUCAAUAGGUCCUCAAACACAGGGGUAACAGUUACUACAGGCAUUUAUUCUAUCUGCAAACUGUGUUCCACCAUCACUGCUGUAUCUUACACUGGCUGAGAAUUUUCUUCACAUACCUUUAUCAUCGGUAAGACUAGGCAGCACAGGAAGGCCAGAAAUGUAAAGAAAGGUUAUUGAUUCAGUUGUGUCAAAUUAGAAUUAGAGAAAAUAAGAUAUGUCACACAUUAAUACAUCCAAUGCUAGAAAGAAAUCUCUCAUUUUACCAAAGAUCACUAGGAAGGAUUAAAUUUGUAUAUGUUGGAUUGCCAUGAGACUUCAGACUAGUAUUUAAAGAAACCUGUAGUGGAACUGAGAAAAAUGACAGGCAUGCCCCUCAGGAAACACCAUGAAUCUGUGCCUUCUGUGAACUGAGCACAAAGGGCAGUGAGAGGAGAAGUGGAGAAGGAAGAGGCCGGACACAGACCCGGGAUUGAGAAGCGCUGGAAACCACUGCCCUUCUAGACCCGACCGAACAACGCCAGAGCUUGAUGCAGGGCUCUCUUCUAUUAAUCAGUCCUUUGUCCCUGGGGCCUGAGUGUCAGCUGGGAAGGAAGAGAUCACAAGGUUUCCAUUUGGUUUUAUUAAAUGUUCUCAUCCUGUGGAGAUGACCAGACUCUUGGUGUCCUGCCUGCAAUUGUUUUGGCUUUCUGAAUAGUCUCAGUGAUAAAGCUGAGGAAAAAUGUUGUCAGAAGAAUUGAAUCUGCUAGAGACGCUUUCCUUAUCCAUUCAUUUAAGAUUCUGUUGUCUCAUUUCCAAGUGUUUCAUGGAGUUCCUUAUAGGAUUUCCCAUUAUAAAUGAGCAGCCGCCUAAGUACUCAGGAUAGGGGAAAAAAAAAAAAACACUAAGCCUACAGGAAAUUUGCAAUUCACAAUUCCUGGGAGAAAUACAACACACUCACAUCUUCCUUUUGAUUCCCUUUCCAUUAUUUAUUUCCUUAUGUGUAGACCUGGAGUAGUGGUAAUGCUAUGUUAGGUGACACCAAGUUCGCCAAAGAUGAGGGAACUGGGAGAGUGUCAUAGGGCGCACACCUUUCUCUUCCUGGGCUCUUAGAUGGAAGUAAAAAGCAGAUCCCAGGCACGAAGGGUCUGCUAAAUGAAGGAAUGCAAGUUUCACACAGUUAUGAAGAAGAAACAAUAAUGCAAAUUUUCCUAUAUAAGCUCUGAAAUAUGCUCUCAAGCCUCAUAUUCUUCAGGACUCUCAGGGGACCUGACUUUUGUCUUUCUUGUGCUUGUAUGAAUAACUUGUCCCUUCUCUGUCAAGCAUCACACAACAUUUCUUUCCUGCAAAGAUAGUGCAUCUAUACUCCAUCCACUUUCCUUGGGAAUAUACUAGAAAGGACUGCCUUCCUGCUCCUCCCAUCCCUUUCUAUGUGAGCUCCAAAAUAUCAGGGCAAAUCUAUUUCAGCUUUAUUUGCAUCGUGUAGGGAGUCAGAAAGCUGACAGAAUCAGAUGUCUGAUUUUAAUAUGAAAUACAUCAUUACUUGCCAACUUAUAAUUCUCCUGCCGAUCCUUCUAAGUAAUCAAAUCAAUGAUGAGCCUAUACUGUACAUAAUCUAGUCUAUAAGCUACCAGGUCAGGUGGCAACAGUAGUAACUGGGGUGAGAAUUUAAGAUGUACACAAUUUGGGGGCAAAUAAGGACAUUUAAAAAUAUUAUCUUCAAGAGGAAAACCGUCUAAACUGUAUUCAAGGUAGGGGCAGGGUCUACUCAAGGCAGACAUCUAGGAAUGCAUAAGAGAAAGAAGAAACAAAUGCAGAUGGUUGCUAAAGGCUGUCAUCCCUCCCAGACUGGCAGUUUCCUGAAGGCAGAGAGCAUACCUGUCAGAGAUCCCCUGUACCUUUCUCAGUGCCUUGCACACAAUACAAAAUCCUCUUGUUAGUUAGUUUUCCACUGGCCUGAACUAAAUUAUCCUUGAAAGACAGUAAGAUUACAGUGGAAAGUGUAUGGAUUCAGAGUCAGAAAUUCCUGGAUUUGAAUGCUGCCUUGUCAGUUCUUAGCUAUACAAACCUCAAGUAAAUCUCUCACAACUUUAGUUAUAUUUUCUAAAAAAUGAAGAUAAUAACAUGUGACUAAUAGCCUGUGAAGAACACUGAGAAAACUUGUAAAAGUGUUUAGCAUAUAGCAGGUGAUCAAAAAGAAUUGUUUCCAUUGAUAAUUAUUAUUUAUUAAAUUACAUAUGUCUGGUAUUAUAUGUACUUUAAAUAUAUCCUAAUAAUGCCUUGAAAAACUUCUUGGUCCGGCAAACUAUUCUUCAACUGUACACAAAAGAGAGGAGUUUCAAAUGCUAUCAUGUUUUUUUUUCUCAUUCCAUGCAUUACUUAGCCAAAAAGUUUGCUUAUUGACUCUUAUUUUUAUAGCUAUAUAUUUAUAUUUUACUUGUUUUUCGUAUAUCUCAGGUAUAGCAAAAUACAUCUAUUCCAGAUACUAGAAUUGUUUCUCUCCCCUCAGAUAUGUGCAUGGAACUUAAACAGAAAACUUUUUGUGGUAGAACAGUCCUGAGCAUUGAGGAACUUCACAUCAGGCCCGACAGACAGAGAUUUAGUUACCAAAAUGUCAAAAGGCCCUUUUUCCAUGGAAGUCCCACUUACAAUUCCUGGACCCAGAGGAAGCAUUUGGUGUAGGGUACUUAAAGGAGCAGGGCACUCAGCUCCCAAAGAGCACUGAGGCUGCUCCAUUUCCCCCCAACUCUCCCCACCCCUGGCCAUUCCCUAUUCUACUCAGAGUGCAUUACUGUACCAUCUGCGGGACUCAGAAUGCUAGGAGAUAACAACCAUUCAGAGUGUUCACCAUGUGUCAUACCGUCCUACACACAUCAUUUAGAUCAGCUCAAUAAACCUCAGAACAGCCCUAUGAAAAUCUUCAUUUUAUGGAUGAAGAAAUGGAUGCACAGAUUGUUUAAAUGAUCUACCCAGGAUCGUGCAAUAAGCAUGUGGAGAAGUCAAGAUGUGAAACAAGUAGACUGCCUCUGAAGUCCAUGCUCUAAUUCCACUAAACUACCUCUCCAGGGUAUGAAUGACAAGUUAGUAGGGAUCAGAAAAUCUAGAAAAGUAGAGUUUUACCAAAUGUAUGCAUAUUUUACUGUAGUCUUUCAUGGAAGUAUUUUCUGUUGCCAAGAACUGAGAAAAACUGAUCAUUUUUAAAUGGUAAGGAGAGAGAGAUUUUAACAGCCAGCUCCAAAAAGUCACAACCCUAUAUAAAUCUUUUAAAUUUCUGAGUAUAUAUUCUAAAGGAAUAAUGGAUUAUACAAACAGAACUAUUUUUUAGAUGCUUUCUAUCUUGUUCCAUUGAUCUAUGUGUCUGUUUUUGUGCCAGUGCUAUACUCUUGAUUAUUGUAGUUUUGUAGUAUAAUCUGAAGGCAGGGACCAUGAUUCCUCUAGCUCCACUCUUCUUUCUCAAGGUUUUUUUGGAUACUUGGUGUCUUUUGUGUUUCCAUAUAAAUUUUAAAACAUUUUGUUCUAGUUCUGUGAAAAAUGUCAUUGGUAAUUUGAUAAGGAUUGCACUGAAUCUGUAGAUUGCAUUGGGUAGUAUGGUCAUUUUAACAAUAUUGAUUCUUCCAAUCCCAAGAACAUGGUAUAUCUUUCCAUCUGUUUGUCUCAUCUUCAAUUUCUUUUUUUUUCUUUGUUUGUUUUUUUGUUGUUGUUUUGUUUUUGUCUUUUUGCUGUUUCUUGGGCCGCUCCUGCAGCAUAUGGAGGUCCCAACAUGAAAUAUCAAUCAGCUGUUAUGAACUACCAAAUAAUUUGGUUAGAGAUACACAUAUCACAUUCAAAUGGAAUUUGAAAUCAAGCACCCUGUAUUUUAGAAAUCCAUUAACAGGAUCUUCAAAACUCAAUCCAAAAUGGAUCAAUAAGAAGAUUGAUGCAUUUGAGAGGAAAAGUUGUUUCAGUGGCACUUGACUAUUGAUUGUGUUAAAAUUGAAAGAAUUUGAGACAGGCAUGCUAUUUUGACAAAGGAUAAAUUGUGAUAAGAUAAACUGAUCAAAUUUUCUCUCAGACUGGCUAAGAAAGAAAUAAAAAUUAUCAGCUUUUUACUCAUUUCAGAAUGAAUACAUUACUGGUAAGAAUAAGUGACCUAAAACAAAAUUUACAAUAGCUAAAACCAAGCGUCAUCUUACUAAUGGCAAUGAUAACUACAGAAUUGAUCUUGGAAAAUCAGAUUUAGUAGAAAUAACCAACAUGAAACUGGCAUGGCUAACCAUUGAUGGAAGAGUUAAAACUUCCUGGUAAAACCUCGAUUAUGACAAUAUCUGACCAAGAAAUCUGGACUUUGUAAAAUAACCACAUUAAUGACAGAAGCCAUAAUCAUUAACAUUUUAAUGUAUGCCAGAAAUCUGAACAAUGUAUUACGUUGUUUUAAAAAUUAUACAAAAUACAAGUGAGCCAAUGAAAUUAAUUUCAGUAAAAUUAAAAUAGACUAAAAAUGAAAUGAGCUCUUCUGAGUAGAAUAGAGGUUGCUUCUUGAAAACUCUAAAAUUAGUUGGUGUUAGUUAUUAAAAAUUUAAAUUAACAAACAUGAAGUCACAAAUAUCCUCAGGAUCAAAACAUUCAGUAUCAAAUUGGCUUUGAUAUCUUGACUACACAUAUGGAAAACUGUUCUUCCUUUUUCCUGGAUAUUUACAAUAUCUAAGCUCAUAA